GGGGAAUUUUCCGCAAUGGGCGAAAGCCUGACGGAGUAAUACCGCGUGAGGGAGGAAGGCUCUUGGGUUGUAAACCUCUUUUCUCAGGGAAGAAUGAUGACGGUACCUGAGGAAUAAGCAUCGGCUAACUCCGUGCCAGCAGCCGCGGUAAUACGGAGGAUGCAAGCGUUAUCCGGAAUGAUUGGGCGUAAAGCGUCCGCAGGUGGCAAUGUAAGUCUGCUGUCAAAGCGUCUGGCUCAACCAGAUAAAGGCAGUGGAAACUACAUAGCUAGAGUAAGGUAGGGGUAGAGGGAAUUCCUGGUGUAGCGGUGAAAUGCGUAGAGAUCAGGAAGAACACCGGUGGCGAAAGCGCUCUGCUGGACCUUAACUGACACUGAGGGACGAAAGCUAGGGGAGCGAAUGGGAUUAGAUACCCCAGUAGUCCUAGCCGUAAACGAUGGAUACUAGGCGUUGCCCGUAUCGACCCGGGCAGUGUCGUAGCUAACGCGUUAAGUAUCCCGCCUGGGGAGUACGCAGGCAACUGUGAAACUCAAAGGAAUUGACGGGGGCCCGCACAAGCGGUGGAGUAUGUGGUUUAAUUCGAUGCAACGCGAAGAACCUUACCAGGGCUUGACAUGUCCGGAAUCCUCUUGAAAGGGAGGAGUGCCUUCGGGAGCCGGAACACAGGUGGUGCAUGGCUGUCGUCAGCUCGUGUCGUGAGAUGUUGGGUUAAGUCCCGCAACGAGCGCAACCCUCGUUCUUAGUUGCCAUCAUUAAGUUGGGAACUCUAAGGAGACUGCCGGUGACAAACCGGAGGAAGGUGGGGAUGACGUCAAGUCAGCAUGCCCCUUACGCCCUGGGCUACACACGUACUACAAUGCUAUGGACAAAGGGCAGCAAGCCAGCGAUGGCAAGCAAAUCUCGUAAACCAUGGCUCAGUUCAGAUCGCAGGCUGCAACUCGCCUGCGUGAAGUCGGAAUCGCUAGUAAUUGCAGGUCAGCAUACUGCAGUGAAUUCGUUCCCGGGCCUUGUACACACCGCCCGUCACACCAUGGAAGCUGGUCACGCCCGAAGUCGUUACCCUAACCUUUCGAGGAGGGGGACGCCGAAGGUAGGACUGGUGACUGGGGUGAAGUCGUAACAAGGUAGCCGUACCGGAAGGUGUGGCUGGAUCACCUCCU
RNAcentral lists this ribosomal RNA (1160 nucleotides) under Scytonema sp. WJT9-NPG6A. RNAcentral describes it as "bacterial SSU rRNA". It matches the Rfam family "Bacterial small subunit ribosomal RNA", at positions 356 to 1531 of the family's 1533-position model. Lineage: Bacteria; Bacillati; Cyanobacteriota; Cyanophyceae; Nostocales; Scytonemataceae. The record is from RNAcentral.